CUUUCAUGUGGUGGUGGGUGGUGGUUGGUAGAGGUCCAUCUCCAGAUUCCACCUCGUUCUCCUCGGGGCCAAACACACCGUUGCUGUGAGCUUUGGGGGGUUCAAUCUCUUAGACCCUGAUAGCUGUCCCGUCUCACCGAGAGUUCUUGGCAAUGCACUUAAAGGUUCCUAUAUCCUGUGGCUCCACCCUACGGAUCCUGAGCUUCAUGUAUACCUUAUAGGAGUUCUCGGUCACUAUAGGCUCG
Homarus americanus (American lobster) is the source of this 245-nucleotide long non-coding RNA. RefSeq lists it as uncharacterized. The record is from RefSeq and is a predicted model, not a curated record. Lineage: Eukaryota; Metazoa; Arthropoda; Malacostraca; Decapoda; Nephropidae. The transcript has 3 exons.